AGAGCUAGUUAGUUUUGCUGCCUAGAUCUAGUGGUUCAAUUGCACAUACGCACGUAUACGGAGUUACACACGAUGACACACAAAUCAGUUUGGGUUGAGCCCAAAGUGUACUCACGUACUGGAGACUCACGCGACCAAGCCCUCACACAUGGCCUCUCACCAUCGUUCCCCAAAUCACGCACGCACGCGACACCCAUCGCGUCCUCGCGAUGCUGCCGCCGCCUCCUUCCCUUCCGGCCGCCACCGGCCAAGUCCGUCGCCGGCGCACGCCAGCGCAGCUCCGCCUCGCUAUCCUCCAUCGAAUCCCCUCUAAAUCGACGCUCACUCGCACCCGCACACACAGGCUCCCCCAGACGUCGUCGCUCCGCUGCGUUUGUUUUUCCCGGCCGCCUCCGGCUCACUCCGGCACCGGCAAGGUGGGGCUUUGCUCCGCCUUGCUGCUCUCUACCGCCUCCUCCCGGUCGAUUUGAUCCUCGAGGUCUUAAUCACCCGUCCCCAACCCCGGAACCCUACCUACUGCCGGCCGAUUUGGCCAUCGCCGGCCUCCUACUCCGAUGCUACUCCCCGGCGUGGCUUCGCCCCGGACCACCCUGCCAUCUACCGCUGCCUCGGCGCCGCCCCCUUUCCCACACACGUGCCUCACGGCAACCCUAGCCCACGGAUGCCUCGGUCGCCGGCGUGUUUUCGACGCCGCCGCGGCCAUACUGCUGUCAUGACAGCGAAUUAGUGGUGUGGUGUUGCGGUGCUGUUGUACUAGUGGAGCGGUGUGGUGUUGGUGGUGACUACUGCAUCCUCGACGCCGGCCGGACGGCGUCUACGACUGCAACCCCGGCGUCGGCCUCUUCCUCUAUUCGACUACACCACUGGUCUUACUUAAACAAGAGAUGAUGAUCUUCAAGUUUAGUUUAGGAUUUGAUUUUCUUUUCUCAUACUUGUAAUUGUAACUAUAUUCUUAUUCUUUAUUAUUUUUGUAAAGACUUUGUAUUAUUGUGUUAAUAUUAAUAAAGAAAUGUUUUCCUUGUUGUAGAA
Molecule: long non-coding RNA, 1029 nt
Organism: Lolium perenne
Lineage: Eukaryota; Viridiplantae; Streptophyta; Magnoliopsida; Poales; Poaceae
Source: RefSeq, a predicted model, not a curated record